RNAcentral lists this ribosomal RNA (405 nucleotides) under uncultured bacterium. RNAcentral describes it as "bacterial SSU rRNA". It matches the Rfam family "Bacterial small subunit ribosomal RNA", at positions 355 to 775 of the family's 1533-position model. The record is from RNAcentral.
UGAGGAAUAUUGGUCAAUGGGCGAAAGCCUGAACCAGCGACGCCGCGUGGGUGAAGAAGGCCUUCGGGUCGUAAAGCCCUUUUCUGCGUGACGAGACAAGGACGGUAGCGCAGGAAUAAGUCUCGGCUAACUACGUGCCAGCAGCCGCGGUAAGACGUAGGAGGCAAGCGUUAUCCGGAGUUACUGGGCGUAAAGCGCGUGUAGGCGGGCGUGUAAGUGGUUCGUGAAAUAUCCGGGCUAAACUCGGGUAGGUCGAAUCAGACUGCAGGUCUGGAGGCGGGUAGAGGGGUGCGGAAUUCCGGGUGUAGCGGUGAAAUGUGUAGAUAUCCGGAGGAACACCAGAGGUGCAGACGGCGCCCUGGGCCCGACCUGACGCUGAGACGCGAAAGCUUGGGGAGCGAACGG